This 863-nucleotide long non-coding RNA is filed under the name Aotus nancymaae (Ma's night monkey). RNAcentral describes it as "lncRNA (ENSANAG00000039062.1)". Lineage: Eukaryota; Metazoa; Chordata; Mammalia; Primates; Aotidae. The record is from RNAcentral.
AGGAGAGAGGGGAGGAGAGGGAGAGGGGAGAAGGAGAGAGGAGGAGAGGAGGAGAGAGGAGGAGGAGGGGAGGAGGAGAAGGAGGAAGGAGGAGGAAGGAGAAGGAGAGAGGGGGAGGAGAAGGAGGAGGAGGAGGCAGGAGGGGAGAAGAGGGAAAGGAGGGGGAGGACAAGGAAGGAGAGAGGGGAGGGAGGGAGGAGGGAGGAGGAGAGGGGAAGGAGGGAGGGAGGAUGGAGAAGGAGGAAGGAGGAGGAGGAGGAGAAGAGGAGGAGGAGGGGGAGGGGGGAGGAGGAGGAGAGAGGGGGGAGGAGAAGGAGAAGGAGGAGGAGAUGGAGGGGGGAAGAAGGGAGGAGGAGGAGGAGGAGAGAAGGCAGGAGGAGGAGGAGGAGGAGGAGAAAGGAGGAGCGGAAGUGGACAGGACCAGGCACAUGACGCAGCAGCAUCCAGCCUUAGCCUGUCCACGUCCACCCCUACCUCAUUACCACCUCCCUCCCUCCCUCCACCCCUGAGGUUGACUUUCCAGAAGCCACAGGCUACAGAGAAGGGGAAAGGUGACCGAAUGAUGGCAACAGCCCAGGCCUACCCCCAAGGUGCUCCUGACAGCAGAGAAGAAAACAGGAGAAGAAAGAAGGAACACAGUGACCCAGGCCCCACCUGUGCUGAGGAGCUGCUGGUCUCUGCAGGCACGUACUCAUGGGCUUGUUCGUGGCGCCUCUGAUGUCUGCAGCGCACAGACCCCUCAAAUCCCUGCUUCUAGCCAGGAGCCGUCUCUUUAAUCUCCUCACCAUGGGAGGCAUUGCAGCACGCUGGUAAUUGCUUUUGGAAACAUGGUACCAGUUUAAUUUGUAGAACUUGUCCUAGGC